RNAcentral lists this ribosomal RNA (466 nucleotides) under uncultured Gammaproteobacteria bacterium. RNAcentral describes it as "bacterial SSU rRNA". It matches the Rfam family "Bacterial small subunit ribosomal RNA", at positions 33 to 501 of the family's 1533-position model. Lineage: Bacteria; Pseudomonadati; Pseudomonadota; Gammaproteobacteria. The record is from RNAcentral.
ACGCUGGCGGCAAGCCUCAUACAUGCAAGUCGAACGAGAAAGUAUCUUCGGAUACAAGUAAAGUGGCGGACGGGUGAGUAAUACAUAGGAAUCUACCCAGUGGAGGGGGAUAGCUCGAGGAAACUCGAAUUAAUACCGCAUAAUCUCUACGGAGUAAAGAGGGCUUCGGCUCUCACCAUUGGAUGAGCCUAUGCAAGAUUAGCUUGUUGGUGAGGUAAUGGCUCACCAAGGCUACGAUCUUUAGCUGGUUUGAGAGGACGACCAGCCACAUCGGGACUGAGACACGGCCCGGACUUCUACGGAAGGCAGCAGUAGGGAAUAUUGGACAAUGAGCGAAAGCUUGAUCCAGCUAUGCCGCGUGUGCGAUGACGGCCUUAGGGUUGUAAAGCACUUUAGGUAACGAGGAAAAGUUAGGUGUUAAUACCACUUAACCAUGACGUUAAUUACAGAAUAAGCACCGGCUAAA